Molecule: ribosomal RNA, 263 nt
Filed under: Faecalitalea cylindroides
Lineage: Bacteria; Bacillati; Bacillota; Erysipelotrichia; Erysipelotrichales; Erysipelotrichaceae
Description: partial 16S ribosomal RNA
Rfam family: Bacterial small subunit ribosomal RNA
Source: RNAcentral
UGCAAGUCGAACGGACCGAAGGGAAAGCUUGCUUUUCCUGAAGUCAGUGGCGAACGGGUGAGUAACACGUAGGUAACCUGCCCAUGUGCCCGGGACAACGCCUGGAAACGGGUGCUAAAACCGGAUAGGUAGAGAGAUCGCAUGAACUUUCUAUUAAAGGGGCUACGGCCCUGAACAUGGAUGGACCUGCGGUGCNUUANCUAGUUGGUGANGUAACGGCCCACCAAGGCNACNAUGCAUANCCGACCUGAGANGGCGANCGG